AAGGGACCAAGCGAAAAUCGAGAUUACUGGAUGAAAGCGAGAGUAGGGGGUUCGUUAGGAAGGAAGCGAAAGCCAAGGGCUCAACCUGGGAACUGCAUUGAAAACUGGAAAGCUAGAGUAUGGUAAAGGGUGGUGGAAUUCCCGGUGUAGCGGUGAAAUGCGUAAAUAUCGGAAGGAACACCAAUGGCGAAGGCGACCACCUGGACUAAUACUGACCCUGAGGCGCGAAAGCGUGGGGAGCAAACAGGAUUAGAUACCCUGGUUUUUCACGCCCUAAACGAUGCCAACUGGA
This 292-nucleotide ribosomal RNA is filed under the name uncultured Pseudomonas sp. Its description in RNAcentral is "partial 16S ribosomal RNA". It matches the Rfam family "Bacterial small subunit ribosomal RNA", at positions 528 to 820 of the family's 1533-position model. Lineage: Bacteria; Pseudomonadati; Pseudomonadota; Gammaproteobacteria; Pseudomonadales; Pseudomonadaceae. The record is from RNAcentral.